RNAcentral lists this ribosomal RNA (375 nucleotides) under uncultured organism. Its description in RNAcentral is "partial 16S ribosomal RNA". It matches the Rfam family "Bacterial small subunit ribosomal RNA", at positions 527 to 896 of the family's 1533-position model. The record is from RNAcentral.
GUAGGUGGCAAGCGUUGUCCGGGAAUUAAUGGGGCGUAAAGCGCGCGCAGGCGGUUCUUUAAGUCUGAUGUGAAAGCCCACGGGCUCAACCGUGGAGGGUCAUUGGAAACUGGAGGACUUGAGUACAGAAGAGGGAAGCGGAAUUCCACGUGUAGCGGUGAAAUGCGUAGAGAUGUGGAGGAACACCAGUGGCGAAGGCGGCUUUCUGGUCUGUAACUGACGCUGAGGCGCGAAAGCGUGGGGAGCAAACAGGAUUAGAUACCCUGGUAGUCCACGCCGUAAACGAUGAGUGCUAAGUGUUAGGGGGUUUCCGCCCCUUAGUGCUGCAGCUAACGCAUUAAGCACUCCGCCUGGGGAGUACGGCCGCAAAGGCUG